GUCUGAGUGUAUUAAGUGCCGUGCCGGCCUGUCCGCACUGUAGCGAGUGGCGCCCCGCCCUCCUCUGUGAUCACGUGAUCUUGUGACCGCCGACCAAUUCCUGGCCGGCUGGGUCAGUCGGUGCCGGGCAGCCAGCCAAUACAGGCCUAUCGAGGACGCGGACUUUACAGUGGCGACGAGGCAACCACUCACAGGCGGCGAUGACCAACGAGAGCAAGGUGACCAGCCCUCCUGGAAUGUCGGCUAUUGGCAUCGGUGAAUACCAGGCGAGUACAGAUUGGCAAGAAUAUGUCGAAAGAUUUGAAUUUUCUUGUUUUGCACAAGGUAUCACUGAGGAUGAGCGCAAAAAAGCCUUAUUACUUGCAUCUGUUGGCCAAGAAACUUAUACGAGUAUCAAGUCAGUUUUGUCACCGGCAUCACCUGUUGGACUUCCAUAUGUGGAGUUGUUGGAGCGAGUGGGUCGGCAUUUAGCACCCAAGCAAUCAGUGAUACUCAGCCGGUUUAAGUUCAAUCAGUGCAUUCAGGAACCUCAUCAGUCAGCUGCUGAUUACGUCGCUAACCUCAAGAGAUUGGCCGAAAAAUGUGAUUUUGGUCAGACUUUGGACAGCAUGCUUCGUGACAGACUUGUGUGCGGGGUCAAAGACUCCGUGUUGCAGAAGCGGCUUCUGGCGGAGGAGGACUCCCUGACGUUCGUCAUGGCCGAGAGGUUGGCGCUGGCGGCGGAGUCGGUCACCAGAGACGUGGGUCAGCUCGCGGCGGGCCGUGCCGUCGGUUCGCUGGAAUCUGAAGCGGUACACCGCGCCGAUCAGCUGAUUUCUGACCGGCAGCGCGCCGGUUCCGUGACCGGGUCAAGGUCAGUGGGUCGCGGUCGAGCCGCGGCGGCCGCCGGGUCGCGGCAGGCUGGCCGGCCGGGGCGGGGGACCGGUGACCGACCGGGAGGGUCCGAAGCAGCCGACAUGAGGCGGCGUCAGGACUGCUAUCGAUGUGGUGGUAUGCAUAACCCACGGAACUGUCGAUUCCGCGACUAUCACUGUCAUAGCUGCGGUGAGCUGGGGCACCUGAAACGCAAGUGUGUUCGAAGUGUCCAUGCUGUAACCGACCCUCCUGCAGUUCAGAAUGAUGACAGUCAGAGUGAGUCAGAUGUUUGCAGUAUCUACUCUGUUGGCCGCCCCAAGUGUCCCCCGAUCACCGUCGAGGUACUGGUUUUCGGUGUCCCUGUGCGGUUUGAAGUUGACACCGGGGCUGCUAGCACUCUGAUGACCGCCGAAACGUUCCGGAAUGUGUCGGACAACGGGGGGCAUGGCGGGCUGACGCUCUCCAGGUCAGAGGCGAGGCUGCGCUCGUAUACGGGAAACGCCAUCCCUGUCAUCGGUGAGUUCAGCGCCGUUGUGAGGUACGAAAGCCAGCAUCUGGACCUGCCCGUUCUGGUCGUCGAGUCACACGGGCCGAAUCUGCUGGGCCGUGAUUGGUUGGCGACACUGAAGCUUGACUGGUGCGGCAUCAAACAGGUGAGAAACCUGGGCGCCGGGUGGAGGAGCAGCUUCAGGCGGAGGUGGAAGCCGGUGUCCUAGAGCCGGUGAAGUCGUCAGACUGGGCCUGCCAGAUCGUUCCAGUCUUGAAGCCGGACGAGGGAGAUGGAGAAGCUGCUGGCCGGUCUGCAGAAUGUGUUCGUCUUCCUGGACGACGUGCUCGUCUCUGGGUGCGACGAAGUGGAGCUGCUGAAGACUGUGGAGGAGGUGCUGCGGCGUUUCCAGGACGCUGGCGUCAAGGACAACCGCUCCAUACAUGCCGUCUUCCAACGGGCUGGCUGAGAGAGCGGUGCGAGAGCUGAAGAUUCGGCUCAACAAGAUGUCAGCUGAUCAACCGAUGUCGUGGAUCCCUGGAGCCGAGCGACAGCCAUCCGGACUCGCCGCGCCCUGGUGUUGGAGCGCGCUCUGGCUCCGCCGGCGGCUCGCAUGCCGCUACGCCGCUGGACACUGCCCUGGCCUCGCCAGGAGGAGGCGCGGAGGCGGUGCGGCCUGCGUCCCCUGUCGACGUCGACGAGCCGGGGGACUCUGUUCGGCCGCCCGAGGACCGCCGAGCCGCGUCUCCCGCCCGCGUCGCUGACGGCGUGGGAGCGAGGGAUGCCGAUGGGGAAGAAAGGCGCUAUCCUGUGCGCGUGAGGCGAGCGCCUGAUCGUUUCGGACACUGAUGUGCCGUGAUUCUAUCCGGUAGAAACCGUGACUGAUUCAGUUAAUUUUGUUUUGUUAACUCUGACCAUUGACUCGUUCAAUGUGUCAUUUUGGUGUCGGGGAGGUGUAGUGUCUGAGUGUAUUAAGUGCCGUGCCGGCCUGUCCGCACUGUAGCGAGUGGCGCCCCGCCCUCCUCUGUGAUCACGUGAUCUUGUGACCGCCGACCAAUUCCUGGCCGGCUGGGUCAGUCGGUGCCGGGCAGCCAGCCAAUACAGGCCUAUCGAGGA
RNAcentral lists this unclassified non-coding RNA (2458 nucleotides) under Amphibalanus amphitrite. Its description in RNAcentral is "uncharacterized LOC122376161, transcript variant X7". The record is from RNAcentral. Lineage: Eukaryota; Metazoa; Arthropoda; Thecostraca; Balanomorpha; Balanidae.